AUGGCAGCCCUUCCCCAUCUGUAAUAUCCAAAGCCACUGAGAAAGAGACUUUCACUGAUAGUAACCAAAGCAAAACUAAAAAGCCAGGCAUUUCUGAUGUAACUGAUUACUCAGACCGUGGAGAUUCAGACAUGGAUGAAGCCACUUACUCCAGCAGUCAGGAUCAUCAAACACCAAAACAGGAAUCUUCCUCUUCAGUGAAUACAUCCAACAAAAUGAAUUUUAAAACUUUUUCUUCAUCACCUCCUAAGCCUGGAGAUAUCUUUGAGGUUGAACUGGCUAAAAAUGAUAACAGCUUGGGGAUAAGUGUCACGGUACUGUUUGACAAGGGAGGUGUGAAUACGAGUGUCAGACAUGGUGGCAUUUAUGUGAAAGCUGUUAUUCCCCAGGGAGCAGCAGAGUCUGAUGGUAGAAUUCACAAAGGUGAUCGCGUCCUAGCUGUCAAUGGAGUUAGUCUAGAAGGAGCCACCCAUAAGCAAGCUGUGGAAACACUGAGAAAUACAGGACAGGUAACAGAUCAUUAUACCAACCUUUUACAGUACCUUAGAAGAGCAAAACAAUGUGUGAAUAACAUCAGUUCUCAUUGAGAUCUCUAAAUUUGUCAGCUAAUCAAGAAACCAAGCCUGAUAUAUAUAACCAUCUGGG
This 645-nucleotide small RNA is filed under the name Pan troglodytes (chimpanzee). Its description in RNAcentral is "retained intron". Lineage: Eukaryota; Metazoa; Chordata; Mammalia; Primates; Hominidae. The record is from RNAcentral.